This 137-nucleotide non-coding RNA is filed under the name uncultured Blautia sp. RNAcentral's name for it is "FMN riboswitch (RFN element)". It matches the Rfam family "FMN riboswitch aptamer (RFN element)". Rfam says of the family: The RFN element is a highly conserved domain that is found frequently in the 5'-untranslated regions of prokaryotic mRNAs that encode for flavin mononucleotide (FMN) biosynthesis and transport proteins. Lineage: Bacteria; Bacillati; Bacillota; Clostridia; Lachnospirales; Lachnospiraceae. The record is from RNAcentral.
UCUUCGGGGCAGGGUGACUGCGCAGUAUCCAUAUCUGCUGCAAGGAAUUCCCUACCGGCGGUAUAGUCCGCGACCCGCAGCAUGCGGCUGAUCCGGUGUGAUUCCGGAACCGACAGUAUAGUCUGGAUGAGAGAAGA